Ciona intestinalis (vase tunicate) is the source of this 3269-nucleotide non-coding RNA. Lineage: Eukaryota; Metazoa; Chordata; Ascidiacea; Phlebobranchia; Cionidae. The record is from RefSeq and is a predicted model, not a curated record.
CGCUCGUGACGGAGCAUACGUCUUUUAUUCCGGGUCGAUGAUGGUGUUGUUAACCGGUCAGUGACAGUUUGUGGUUGAAGAGAAAUUUCGAUUACAGUAAUCGGCGGGGCGUCGACGACACUUAACAUUAAGUAAAUGGCUCACCACUUCGGCGUUGAAAACAAUAAAAAAGCGCCGACGCGUUUUGAUGGAUUGUGAGCUGUUAAACCCCACCACAUCAAACAUGAAUUUAGAAACAGGAUCUGAAAGACGUCAGAUAGGGGCAGACCAAGUCAUUUUUCAGCGCUGUUUUUAAUCUCGGGUUGCGUUCCGCCCCGUUCACGUGCACUUAACGUCAAUACUCGCAAGACGCCGUGAAACUUUUCGUCAGUUGGUUCGGCGACGCCCCCCGGACACAGCAUGCGAGGAAAAGGUUGUUUUGUUGUGCUAUACCGACCGUAUCUGGUCUCGCUCCAACCGAGCUCAAUCGAAGCAAAGAGCAGAACUUCCCACGAGCAUUUGCAGUCUAAAGCAACCGAUACCACUCCAGUUUCGGCGAGUGGGUUAAGGUACUUGGUAACUGGAGUCGUAUGGCAACGUUGCAACGGGUGAACGCGUGCGUGCUUAUGUUUAACUAUAGAACUAGAUACAGCCGUUUUUGUAAGGAUUACUCUGUCCAACCUGCUAUGUACAUAUUGUGCAUGAGCAUUUGAGGGUCGGCGUGCUGGAUAUACGCGGACGUGCGGCGCCAUGCUGUAUUGAGCCAAGCUGCUUUCAGUUCACGGCUUCUUGGUUGCCCGUGGUCCGGAACUGAAAGAGUCACGCCGAGUUAUCCGUUUAUCCAAACAUUUGGCCACCAACGCUAUUGGCAGCUGAGUGAAUGGAUCUAGCGAUGAAAGGCCACAAGCCAGCGGUGCGGGCGUUUAUGAAUCUCUAUAUCCGUGCUUUGUAUUGAACAGCAACGAGAUUUAGAGCUCCUUUGUUAACUGGGUUUCCUCGUUCAAACCAGCUGCCGGGUUACUGAAUCGCGCUUCUGAAUUCGCAGUAGCAAAACUAAUUAUUUCCCGAAGUAGUCACCCAGGUGUGGCCGCCCAUUGAGGUCCAAUAAAACACAGGCACACACGGUCUCGUCGCCGCACUUCUCAAUCAACAAUGGCCGAACUGGUGUUUAUUUUGUUACGUCAAUACAAGGGCCACAUCGCACCAGAGCUCUGACAAGCGCACGGAGAGAAACACGCGAUCGUUCGCUGUGAUUAAAGUCGCUUCUUGAAAACGAACAUAAAUAUUUCAUCCCCGGCUCCACGCCACGGUUAAUUGAGUUUGAGUCUAACCCUAAGGUAAUCACGCGCUGCUGACAGACCACCCGACGACCAGGCCCGGAGAGGCGAAAUCGAUCGAGCAAAUAAAGGGCGUACUUUUCUGUACGAGCACUUCGGGAGUUUUCAAACUGUGGUUGUUAUAGUUCCGGAUGAAACGAAUACCAACGUACUUCAAAUUCGUGGUUAACGGCAAUUGGUCAGGUCGUGCCCCUAUACAUCAAUCAUUCAAUGCGCUUAAAAACCUCUAUGUUUCCGCAAUCCCGCUUUGCCGGAGUGUGUUUAUUUGCGAGUAAAUAAAUUAUACCACAGCAGUGAGUGUUUACGCCACGCAAGACACUCAUAUUCUAAAGAAUCAACAACACUAUACGGUUGCAUAUAAUACAGUGCAACCUAAACGUAGUAUAAGUGCUAUCGCCACGUCUUGUAUUGGUAUUGUGUUUCGCCUGUUUUGGAAACUCGGGACGAACGUUUAUGAAAAUGACGAAAUUGCGACGAGAUUAGAAUGAACAAUAUCAGAACAAGCCAGCUAGCAACACGAGGAUGAUUAGUUGAAGUAAUAUCGCCAGUAUUGCUGGGAAAUUGUUCUGUUGUUCAUGGCAAGAUUGUUGAGAACAUAUUCGCUAUAUUUAGGCCCAAGACGUUUUUGUAUUGAAAUAGCUUCGAUUGCCAAUUUAUUGCCGAAUAUGAGGCUCACUCUCGUAAAAUUGAGUUAAAGUGGGUGCGCGGUUGAGAACGAAGUCGAUAUCGGAAGCAUUUUAAGGUCAGGUUGUCUGUAUUUGAGCGUUCUCGUGUUUACCAUUCAUCUUACAGCACGGCAGUAGUCUGCCAGUGAUAUCCAGUAGAGUAGUUCGACUUCCUGGCAUCAAUCACUUUCUACGACAUCCGAAUAUAAUUUCCCUUAUGCGUAAUCCGCUUGUUGAAUAACAGGAAAAUCGGGCGUGUUAUCCCGCAUGUUAUACGUGCAGCUGUGAAGCUAUUUCGACGAAAACAACCAAAGAAAAGUUAAUUCGCCAAGCUGACUUUUAAAAUCACGCCGUAUUUUUUGAACUUUGAGGGCCCAUAAUUACACCUUAUAAUUAAAUCUAUCUAGACCGUUGGUGGGCAUAGAGCCUAUGGGAACGACGCGUGAGCACAAAGCGAGGAUCUCAGGUAGCAGAUCACCGAACACAGAAGGAAUGACGUCACGUUUUGUGACGAUCCAGUCGGGACAUUGGAACACUCGAAAAUCGUUUUGCAACAAUCGAAUACUUGUGUGUACGCGGUCUGUUGAAUCGGCGUUGAAUGACUUGCGGAAACAAAACGUCACAGGAACGGGAACAUGAGCCGCGCUAAACGGCGGAAGAUAUACCAGAGACCCAUGGACCACUAAAUCAAAGCACGCGGUACGCACAGCACGGCGGCUUAUUCAUCAAGCGAUGAUAACAGCUACUACUCACAUGUCUCCCUUCUCGCUCCCGUUCCCGAUCACGUUCCCGAUCUCUUGCUGAGGAAGAAGCAAACGCAGCAGCUGUGGAUGAAACAGCAAUUUAAACUAUAUGUAAUAUACUAUACACAGAAAAUUUAAGAUAGGAAUUACCGGUAGUUCAAAGCAAUACAUUUUUAGAACUGUGUUAAAAAAAUUAAAGACGAGUUUCUUACAAAAAUUACACCUAUAGGUGCUUAAAUCAUAGAUUUUUUUGGGUAGUUUCAAUACAAAUAUGACAGUCAAUAUAAAACGAUAACUAAAUCAAUGUUUAGCAUAUGGGUUUAUAAUGCGAAGUAAUUAUACAGAAUGAAAUAGGCAGCCCGCGCAAUCUGAUCGAAACUGGAUACCGGUGUGAUGCGAUCUAAAAAUACAUGGCGGCAAAUCCGUCCCGGGAAACAGAACAUGCGGGCAGCUAUAACUACCUUUGCAUGUGGUUGCGUAAUUAAAUCAUGGUAUGCUCAUAACUGCGCGAGUCUAACCUCCAAUCUUACAACACGAAUCGAUUU